This 438-nucleotide ribosomal RNA is filed under the name uncultured Rothia sp. RNAcentral describes it as "bacterial SSU rRNA". It matches the Rfam family "Bacterial small subunit ribosomal RNA", at positions 342 to 791 of the family's 1533-position model. The record is from RNAcentral. Lineage: Bacteria; Bacillati; Actinomycetota; Actinomycetes; Micrococcales; Micrococcaceae.
CGGGGCGCAGCAGUGGGGAAUAUUGCACAAUGGGCGCAAGCCUGAUGCAGCGACGCCGCGUGAGGGAUGACGGCCUUCGGGUUGUAAACCUCUGUUAGCAGGGAAGAAGAGAGAUUGACGGUACCUGCAGAGAAAGCGCCGGCUAACUACGUGCCAGCAGCCGCGGUAAUACGUAGGGCGCGAGCGUUGUCCGGAAUUAUUGGGCGUAAAGAGCUUGUAGGCGGUUUGUCGCGUCUGCUGUGAAAGGCCGGGGCUUAACCCCGUGUAUUGCAGUGGGUACGGGCAGACUAGAGUGCAGUAGGGGAGACUGGAAUUCCUGGUGUAGCGGUGGAAUGCGCAGAUAUCAGGAGGAACACCGAUGGCGAAGGCAGGUCUCUGGGCUGUAACUGACGCUGAGAAGCGAAAGCAUGGGGAGCGAACAGGAUUAGAUACCCUAGU